Molecule: ribosomal RNA, 468 nt
Filed under: uncultured bacterium
Lineage: Bacteria
Description: partial 16S ribosomal RNA
Rfam family: Bacterial small subunit ribosomal RNA
Source: RNAcentral
GACGAACGCUGGCGGCGUGCUUAACACAUGCAAGUCGAACGGAAAGGCCCUGCUUUUGUGGGGUGCUCGAGUGGCGAACGGGUGAGUAACACGUGAGUAACCUGCCCUUGACUUUGGGAUAACUUCAGGAAACUGGGGCUAAUACCGGAUAGGAGCACCUGCUGCAUGGUGGGGGUUGGAAAGUUUCGGCGGUUGGGGAUGGACUCGCGGCUUAUCAGCUUGUUGGUGGGGUAGUGGCGUACAAAGGCUUUGACGGGUAGCCGGACUGCGAGGGUGACCGGCCACAUUGGGACUGAGAUACGGCCCAGACUCCUACGGGAGGCAGCAGUGGGAGAUAGUGCACAAUGGGCGGAAGCCUGAUGCAGCAACGCCGCGUGCGGGAUGACGGCCUUCGGGUUGGAAACCGCUUGCGCCUGUGACGAAGCGUGAGUGACGGUAAUGGGUAAAGAAGCACCGGCUAACUACGUG